ACCUGUGAUAAAAUAAUCUUGGAUGUCUCUAUCUUGUCAGAUUCCAUAACCUAAGCAGGGAUGGGCCUAGAUACUACCUGGAUGGGAGACUGCCUGGGGAUUGCAGGUGUUGUAGUCU
This 118-nucleotide ribosomal RNA is filed under the name Petromyzon marinus (sea lamprey). Lineage: Eukaryota; Metazoa; Chordata; Hyperoartia; Petromyzontiformes; Petromyzontidae. The record is from RNAcentral.